AGACCACCAGCUAAGGUCCCAAAAUAUAUGUUAAGUGGAAAAGGAUGUGGCGUUGCCCAGACAACUAGGAUGUUGGCUUAGAAGCAGCCAUCAUUUAAAGAGUGCGUAAUAGCUCACUAGUCGAGUGACACUGCGCCGAAAAUGUACCGGGGCUAAACAUAUUACCGAAGCUGUGGAUUGUCCUUUGGACAAUGGUAGGAGAGCGUUCUAAGGGCGUUGAAGCAUGAUCGUAAGGACAUGUGGAGCGCUUAGAAGUGAGAAUGCCGGUGUGAGUAGCGAAAGACGGGUGAGAAUCCCGUCCACCGAUUGACUAAGGUUUCCAGAGGAAGGCUCGUCCGCUCUGGGUUAGUCGGGUCCUAAGCUGAGGCCGACAGGCGUAGGCGAUGGAUAACAGGUUGAUAUUCCUGUACCACCUAUAAUCGUUUUAAUCGAUGGGGGGACGCAGUAGGAUAGGCGAAGCGUGCGAUUGGAUUGCACGUCUAAGCAGUAAGGCUGAGUAUUAGGCAAAUCCGGUACUCGUUAAGGCUGAGCUGUGAUGGGGAGAAGACAUUGUGUCUUCGAGUCGUUGAUUUCACACUGCCGAGAAAAGCCUCUAGAUAGAAAAUAGGUGCCCGUACCGCAAACCGACACAGGUAGUCAAGAUGAGAAUUCUAAGGUGAGCGAGCGAACUCUCGUUAAGGAACUCGGCAAAAUGACCCCGUAACUUCGGGAGAAGGGGUGCUCUUUAGGGUUAACGCCCAGAAGAGCCGCAGUGAAUAGGCCCAAGCGACUGUUUAUCAAAAACACAGGUCUCUGCUAAACCGUAAGGUGAUGUAUAGGGGCUGACGCCUGCCCGGUGCUGGAAGGUUAAGAGGAGUGGUUAGCUUCUGCGAAGCUACGAAUCGAAGCCCCAGUAAACGGCGGCCGUAACUAUAACGGUCCUAAGGUAGCGAAAUUCCUUGUCGGGUAAGUUCCGACCCGCACGAAAGGCGUAACGAUUUGGGCACUGUCUCAACGAGAGACUCGGUGAAAUCAUAGUACCUGUGAAGAUGCAGGUUACCCGCGACAGGACGGAAAGACCCCGUGGAGCUUUACUGUAGCCUGAUAUUGAAAUUCGGCACAGCUUGUACAGGAUAGGUAGGAGCCUUUGAAACGUGAGCGCUAGCUUACGUGGAGGCGCUGGUGGGAUACUACCCUAGCUGUGUUGGCUUUCUAACCCGCACCACUUAUCGUGGUGGGAGACAGUGUCAGGCGGGCAGUUUGACUGGGGCGGUCGCCUCCUAAAAGGUAACGGAGGCGCUCAAAGGUUCCCUCAGAAUGGUUGGAAAUCAUUCAUAGAGUGUAAAGGCAUAAGGGAGCUUGACUGCGAGACCUACAAGUCGAGCAGGGUCGAAAGACGGACUUAGUGAUC
Molecule: ribosomal RNA, 1390 nt
Filed under: Staphylococcus aureus
Lineage: Bacteria; Bacillati; Bacillota; Bacilli; Caryophanales; Staphylococcaceae
Description: partial 23S ribosomal RNA
Rfam family: Bacterial large subunit ribosomal RNA
Source: RNAcentral